UAUGAUGUCUGAAUAUUUUUUUAGGCCUUAAUCCUGUCACCUUAGGUCGAUCGGUACCUCUGAUUAAAAAAUUUAGAAUUGUUUAUUCAAUUAUUAAAUUCUUUAAUUUCAGUUCCUAAACUUGUCUAGGUCACACCCAACAAACUUUCUCCUGGGCUAUUAGCUCAGGCGGUUAGAGCGCACCCCUGAUAAGGGUGAGGUCCCUGGUUCAAGUCCAGGAUGGCCCAUUCGUUGUUGGGGGUAUAGCUCAGUUGGUAGAGCGCCUGCUUUGCAAGCAGGAUGUCAGCGGUUCGAGUCCGCUUACCUCCACUGAUCAACUACCUAAUAACUCAUUUUGGAGAAUGUUAUUUGGUUGCUGUGAUUUAGAAAUUAUUGUUCCUCUGAAUGAACCUAGCUUCCUGUCAUAUGCAUAUUUUGGAUUGAUAAGACGCUGGGCUCACUGAAUACUCUUUAGGUAUUUCAGUUUGAUUCAGUAGAACCUUGACAACUGCAUAGGAAAGUCUGGAAAAAUAAAGCAUCUCAUAGAUGCAUAAGGCAAUUUUUCAGUUAUUUAUUAUCUGAUUAUGUUUUAUGUUUAAUUCUUGAGUUAGAGCAAAAUUUCUAUAGAAAUUCUCUUUCAUUGAUGAAUGAGGUAAGUAU
Molecule: transfer RNA, 639 nt
Filed under: uncultured Prochlorococcus sp.
Lineage: Bacteria; Bacillati; Cyanobacteriota; Cyanophyceae; Synechococcales; Prochlorococcaceae
Description: partial 16S-23S ribosomal RNA intergenic spacer
Rfam family: tRNA (bases 237-309)
Source: RNAcentral